CAUCACUGCAACAUAAAUAAAACAUUUAGAGCAUGCAUACCAUGUAGAAAACACAUUUUAAUGCCUUCCUGCAAUUUGUGCUGUUAUUAUUCAGAACUAGUUAGCUUAGCCUCUAUAAUGUAAAAUUAUUUUGAACCUGAAUUUUGACAUUUUUAGGAAUUACUCCAAAUCAAUAAUCUUCGAAUCUCACAAGGCUUUUGUAUUAAAUACUGUGGAUCUGCAAACUCAGUCUAAAAGAUUCCAAUUACAUAAUCCUGGCAUAAGUCUCAGAAGUAUGCAUUUUUACCAAAAAAUUCUGCAAGAAUUCUCCACAGGAAUCCUUCUGUAUCAGUGGCAAAUGCAUGUCCAGGAAACAAGACUCUCAUUUUGGAGGUUUAUAUUUAGCUCUGAAAGUAGCCCACAUUACUUUAGGAUGAAAAGCUUUAUUUAGAAAAUGAUACUAUGCUGAGGAAUCAGGAAUCUAAGUCCUUCUAUGUAACACAUCCUAGUGGGUGGAGUGGCAACUUGUGCAACGUUCAGGCAUCUCAGCUUCUCUCCACAGCAUAUGUACUACUUCUGUAUAGUUACUCGUGUUCCUGGUGCAGAGGAGGCGGGCAAAUCUGAUGUCCCAAAGCAGGUAGUUCCAGGCUGAGAGUUACUUUGCGGUGACUUAAGAGUGAGGUCCAGGGAGUGCUUCUGUGAUGCUGAUGGUUGGGGUGGGGUUUCAUAAUUACACAUUCUCUCCUUACUCCUUUGAGUAUAGGGGAGGACCAGGCCUUUGGCAAGAGACCAGAAGGGUACCAAGGAAGGAGGCUAUGUGAGAAAGAAGGGGACAUGAUUUCACAUUCUUUGCAUUCUCUGUGCAACAUUUACAUGCUGCCUUUCUUUGGGUUUUUGCCUCCCAAACUUAAGGACUUGUCUUUUUCUUCUCAAUCCUGCAUCCUGGUGUUACAUACUGUGUUGAAGCUAAAGGCUGGAAAAAGAGGCAAAGAGAAGAGAGAGAGAGAGAAACCACUUGAUGGUUCAUCUGCAAAUGCCUACAGCUGCGAGAGGUGUCUGAGGCCCAUGAUGCAAGUCUGGGAUUUAAUGCCAGUCUCCUACACGGGUUAUUAGGACUCCUUCCUCUGCAAGAUGACUGGGAUACUAACAUAGUUUGCAAACCGCAACCUGCACACACGUGACUUGGGUAUGUUUUGAAAGUCCCAUAUCUAGUCCAGAAGCUACCACGUGAGACCUGUUAGUAGAUGUUGCUGAAGAUCCCAAAAUGUGUUCCCAAAUGUUCUCUGAACACAAUUGGAGAUAAAAAGCUUUAUAUCCCUAAUAUUCCUAAGCUUCGAUUAGCCAGUUAAGCAGAAUUUUAAAACUGCACUCAGUGCAUUACUUCCCUAAUCACUAGGGGUGUAUAAACCCAUCUUGGUUUUGGCCUGACCUGAUAUUAUACUUCAUGCUCAGUACUUGCCUUUCUUAGAACCUUCUCCUGUCUUAUUUCAAAGAUCUUUCUGAAAAAAAAAAAAAAACUAAUUACUCCUAAAUAUAACUGAACUUCUGUUGAAUACUGACCUUUCUCCUUUGGAUCUGUCCUGGAGUCACAGUGAUGUGACAUGAGAGAGUAGAGCCUCAUUUUGAGGCUCUCACUCAAGGGAAGGUCAUUAAAGAAAGGUUGAUUGUUUCUUUAAUGUAAGACAAGUCUCAUCGUUUUGAAGGGGAGUAGGUGGGUCUUGCUUUCAAUGGCCAGGAAACUUCAAAUGAAAUUGGCAUGUCAGAGAUCACAGCUUUGCCUGGGUUUGUCCAGAUGCCUCAAACUCAAGUUUCAAUGCCUUGUUUUUAUAUAAGAUCUUGAUUAUCUCACUAUAUAAUAGAUUAAUCUCACACACUUAAAUGCUUUAGCAAAGCUGCAACCCACCAUGCUCUCAGCUUGCAGCAUCAGGAUUAAUGCUCUAACACUUCAGAGAACACAGUUGCCUCAUUAAUUGCUUGAUACUUGAUUUUAAAAUUCAAGUGUUUAAAUUCAUUUUUUUUUCUUCAUGUAUACUCUCAAAGGCUCUCAGAGGUUGGUGGUUAAGCCUUCUCCAAAGUUUCUGUAGUGUCUGUAGUGAUCCUUUAUCACCACUGG
Long non-coding RNA from Oryctolagus cuniculus (rabbit), 2092 nucleotides. The record is from Ensembl. Lineage: Eukaryota; Metazoa; Chordata; Mammalia; Lagomorpha; Leporidae.